AUUGAACGCUGGCGGCAUGCUUUACACAUGCAAGUCGGACGGCAGCACAGAGAAGUUUGCUUCUUGGGUGGCGAGUGGAGAACGGGUGUGUAAUAUAUCGGAACGUACCGUGUAAUGGGGGCUAACUAAUCGAAAGAUUAGUUAAUACCGCAUAUUCUCUGAGGAGGAAAGCAGGGGACUUUAGGGCCUUGUGUUAUUAGAGCGGCCGAUAUCCGAUUUGCUAGUUGGUGGGGUAAAGGCCUACCAAGGCGACGAUCAGUAUCGGGUCUGAAAGGAUGAUCCGCCACACUGGGACUGAGACACGGCCCAGACUCCUACGGGAGGCAGCAGUGGGAAAUUUUGGACAAUGGGCGCAAGCCUGAUCCAGCCAUGCCGCGUGUCUGAAGAAGGCCUUCGGGUUGUAAAGUACUUUUGUCAGGGAAGAAAAGGCUGUUGCUAAUACCGACAGCUGAUGACGGUACCUAAAGAGUAAGCACCGGCUAACUACGUG
RNAcentral lists this ribosomal RNA (490 nucleotides) under uncultured bacterium. RNAcentral's name for it is "partial 16S ribosomal RNA". It matches the Rfam family "Bacterial small subunit ribosomal RNA", at positions 30 to 507 of the family's 1533-position model. The record is from RNAcentral.